This 292-nucleotide long non-coding RNA is filed under the name Capsicum annuum. RNAcentral's name for it is "long non-coding RNA (CANN_LNC019589)". The record is from RNAcentral. Lineage: Eukaryota; Viridiplantae; Streptophyta; Magnoliopsida; Solanales; Solanaceae.
UACGAUCGAAGUAGCAUCCAACGGUGGCUGGACAGUGGUAACAACACGUGUCCAGCCACCAUGCAGGUGCUACAGACAAAAGAACUUGUACCUAACCAUACACUACAAAGGCUAAUUCAGAUCUGGUCUGACUCGGUCCGAACUACUCAUCAGAACAGUAGUUCGGACCGAGUUAACCACCAACAAGUUCGCGAGCUAAUUAAACAGUUCGUUAACGACUUCCGAGUUCACUAUUCCGAGUUGGAGGUGAACUCGGAUAAUUUAACAAAACUGUUAGCUUUCUCCGGAGAAU